UACGGGGGGGGCAAGCGUUGUUCGGAAUUACUGGGCGUAAAGGGCUCGUAGGCGGCCAACUAAGUCAGACGUGAAAUCCCUCGGCUUAACCGGGGAACUGCGUCUGAUACUGGAUGGCUUGAGGUUGGGAGAGGGAUGCGGAAUUCCAGGUGUAGCGGUGAAAUUCGUAGGUAUCGGGAGGAACACCAGUGGCGAAGGCGGCGAUCUGGGAAGAUACUGACGCUGAGGUGCGAAAGCGUGGGGAGCAAACAGG
This 253-nucleotide ribosomal RNA is filed under the name uncultured bacterium. RNAcentral's name for it is "partial 16S ribosomal RNA". It matches the Rfam family "Bacterial small subunit ribosomal RNA", at positions 524 to 776 of the family's 1533-position model. The record is from RNAcentral.